UGUCAAAAAUUACAUAAGUGUCAAAUUGUCAGACGUUUCAUCAAAAUUCAUGGUGCCAUGUCACGAGAAAAGUAGCCGCAAUGGCAUACACCAACGUCGAGUUGCUUCUCGUCGUCAACUUCCUGCACGUCAUAUCAUACGCUAUAAUAGUACCCAUUCUUCCGUACUAUUUCAGGACGCGCGAUGCAACCUAUUCCAUGAUCGGAAUCCUCUGCGCUUGCGUUUUUAUCGGCCGCAGCGUAAAUAAGGAACUACUCGCGCUUUUACCCAACGGGAAAAAAUACACCAUAGCGACUUGUCUGUACCUCACUUUCGUCUACUAUUUCAUUAUGGUGUUUUACGACGAUUUGGUAACAAGUUUCAUCGUCAAGUUCCUGUUUGCGCUUACUAUAGACAUUGUGUACACAUCUAAAGAGUUUGUAACAAGAAGUGAGCCAGAAGACCACCAUUACCAGAUUUGUAACUUGAUAGAGUUGACCAAGUAUUGCGCUUUAAUCGUGGGGGCGGUUUUAGGCUCGUACAUCUACUCACACAGUUCGAAUUCGUCGUCGAAUUUUAUCAUUUCGAGCUGCCUUGCACUAGUUUGUAUUCUGAUAUUGCAACGCGUUGAUAGCGAUGAUUCCGCUAUGGAAAAGCGUCCCUCGGAGCUUUUUUCGCUGUCAGAACUUUGUAAAAGGCGACUUAGACAACUGAAACGAGUCGAAAUCGUCGACAAGUGGUACCUUUUUAUGUCGAAGUCGAUCUACAUCUUUCUGUGUAAUAUUUAUUUUGCACGGAUUUGUUACAUUUUGAUCGACCAGUACAAUGUUAGUUACAUGCAACUGGGGUACACUGCGGCGAUCGAGAACAUGGUGAUAUGUGCAUGUUCUAUAAUAGUACCAUUCGUAACCGAAAGGUACGACGAUAAAAGAGAACUUCUGCUGCAUAGUAUGUUCGUUAGUGGGAUUUUACUAGCAGGGUUCUACUCUGCUCCCAGCUAUGGGUGUUCUAUAGUCGCUUUCAUGUGUCUAACUUUCUUCUGUACCAUGAUUAAUGGUAUGUUGCACGACGACGUGCUCAACUUCAGGUAUGAAGAUGAACUGGAAGAAGUGUCUGAAACUGUGACGGUGUUAAUUAACCUCUUCGCGCCGAUCUUCGCCGGAAUCAUCAACGACUUGCUGGGGGAAAAUAUUCUAGAUCUGGUAGCGGCGAUCACGCUAUGUGGCUACAUGUACGUGAUCAUCAGAAGUCUCUUCGAACUAGAGACCGCAAAUGAAACAGAAGAAGAAAAUAACUAGAAUCACUCUUAAAAGUAACCCGUGAUAAUAAAAAUCUAAAACCUAGAUGUGUUUUUUCUUAAAACAGUCAAGCUUUCUGUCGUCGUGUUUGACAGUUUAGACACUGUCACCAGUUUGAACCACACCCGUGGUUUGAACUGAUCAUGAUCCGCAAAAUUCGCAGCAAGAUGAGCCAAACAUUUCCUCACACCUUUUUCUGAACGAUGCGACCGACUAACGCCCAGUUGCUCCUACUCGUCAACUUUCUUCUGCCGGGAUCGUGGUUCCCGUUUUCUCGAAACAAAUUCUACGCAAUGGAGGAAACUAUAUUGUCAUCGGGUCCGUGCAAUCGGUGG
Molecule: RNA transcript, 1612 nt
Organism: Zophobas morio
Lineage: Eukaryota; Metazoa; Arthropoda; Insecta; Coleoptera; Tenebrionidae
Exons: 6
Source: RefSeq, a predicted model, not a curated record